UGGAUAUGUUACUGUAGGAGACUUCUCAGGUUUCUUUUAGAUCAGAGGUCAGCAAACUUUUUCAGGAAAGGGCUGGAGAGUAAAUAUUUUUGCCUUUUGUGGGCCACACGGUCUCUGUUGCAACUGUUCGUCUCUGGCCUUGUAGCACUAAAGCAACCACAGAAUACAUAAACAAAUGUGUGUAGCUGUAUUUCAAUAAAACUCUAGAUACCAAAACAAGCGAUGGGCCAGAUGUGGUCUACAAGCUAACUGUAGUUUGCCAUGUACGUUCCUUGGGUCUAUUCACAUUUUCCUCCAUUCAACGUUUACUGAAAAGCUGUUAUCUAUUUAAAGACAUUUAGAAUAAAGAGCCAGCCUCUGCCUUGAGCCUAGGGAGGAGCCAGGAACAUAAACACACAAGCCAGCAGGAUACAAUGUGAACAACACUGUGAUCAAGGAGAUUGGAGAAGGCUUCUUAGGGGAGUAACAGCUGAGUUAGGAUUCUGCAGAAUGAAUAUGCAGUUUUCCAGAUUCAGGAAAGGUUUUAUCUAGGGAAACAUAAUAGCACACAUAAGGUGACGUGUGUUUAUGGCAGCCGGGGAGUACUGUGGUGGUGAUAGUGGGAAGUGAGAUGGCAAAGAGGAAAAGGGCCAGAUGAUGAUUAAAUGCCUUACCUGCCGCAGUGAGAGCAUACACACAUGCUCUGAUAGCACUUCUUAGACGGGAAUUCUGAGGGUCAAAGCAUGCCAUCCUGGGGUUGGCCCAUGGCAGCACCAGCCAUGAAGAGCAGCCAGCCUGGCAGGUGUGGAGAGGCCCCAGAGAACCACAGAAGCAGCCGCAGAAGUGAUGAGUGAGCAAUCUCCAGAGGAGAUCUCUGAAGAAAUUGCUGAUGAAAGUCCAACAGGCUCUUCCAGUUUGUCUGGUCGGUCACAUUUGCUGAAACCUGGAGGAAUUGUUAGUGGAAGCUCAACAGGCCUGACUCAGUCUGACUGUCCAUUCUUCUGGAAGCUGCAGAGAAAAGAAACCUGGAAACCUUAUAUGCUGACAAAAAGGGACACAAUUGGAUAUGAUGGUUAUUUUACCAAGGUUUUGAAAUGUCGUGCUUUCAAAUAUAAACAGACUGCUUUAAGGAAUCGAAGUUGACUUAUAGAGCCAAUAAAAGCCCUGCAGGAAAGCUGGCCUCAUACUUUGUCUACACAGUCUCUGUACAGGUUUCCUGACCUGUGGUGAGUAAAGAAUGUCACCUUCUGAAAGUCCAGGGAUCCCAAGUUAUCUUGGGACCUGGAGAGGAGGAAAAUUCACCCAACUCAUACAGGUAUAUUUGCAGCCGUAGAUAAAUCUGUGGAUGGGCUCCAAGGCUUUAAAAAGUAUAAUCUGAGAUUCCUUAUGGAACAAAGUUUCAGCA
This 1384-nucleotide long non-coding RNA is filed under the name Homo sapiens (human). RNAcentral describes it as "HSALNT0090149". The record is from RNAcentral. Lineage: Eukaryota; Metazoa; Chordata; Mammalia; Primates; Hominidae.